RNAcentral lists this long non-coding RNA (972 nucleotides) under Triticum aestivum (bread wheat). Its description in RNAcentral is "long non-coding RNA (TAES_LNC007850)". Lineage: Eukaryota; Viridiplantae; Streptophyta; Magnoliopsida; Poales; Poaceae. The record is from RNAcentral.
CUGGGCCGCAUCUCGCUCAUGGUCUACGGCGGGCUGGCGGCGCUCGUCUUCUGCGGCUACAUCAUCUACGACACCGACAACCUCAUCAAGCGCUACUCCUACGACGAGUACGUCUGGGCCGCCGUCGCGCUCUACCUCGACGUCAUCAACCUCUUCCUCUCCCUGCUCACCCUCUUCAGGGCAUCCGAUUCCUGAAGUGCCUGCAUCUCCUGCCGUAGCGUAGCGUAGCCACUCGUCGUAUCCUACUCCAGUAAUCCUGCCCCUGCCGUUACAUAACGAAUGUGAUUUGCUUGUGUGUGAAACAAUUUAUUGUAAAUUAGUUUUGACUUGUUUUACAUAAUUUGGUCUAUGUAACUUUGUAGUCUGCCAAUAUCAAGAUUGCUGAAUGGAAUGAAAUUCAGGAGCUGCUACUGCUAGCUUGGGCUCUGUUUUAGCUGCCGCGCCUGCCUCCGGUAAAAUGUUCUGCAAGUUCUCCUGGCAUCCAUCGUCUUAUCUUGCGGUUUGGGCGUGUUGUCGUCGAUGCUGCUGCGGGGUGAGGAAGCCAGGGACAGAAUCAUGUGCUCCUGCGUUCAUCGGCGUGUGCGCUUGGGCCAUCAGCCUCAGCCCAUGACUGUGGUUCCGAUUCUGUCGAGCGAGAUCGAACUACCGUGGGGCACGUUCAGUACCUGGCAUGUGUCGUUCGUAAAAUACUGUACUGCGUACAGGGUACUCGCGUCCUACGUACAGGGUACUCGUACGAUCGUACUUAAUGUACAGGGGAGAUUGUAGUAUUGUAUAGUCGUGCGGUUGAGAUAAUAUUGCAGUGGAGGUGAGUAAAUUAAAUUACACAUACCCAGUGCGGCUAGGAGUACCAUAUUUGCAUUUUACACACAGGGAUCAACAAUUUUGAGUCCCCACAAAAAAAAAACCAAUACUUUUGAGUCGAGUUGUGACUCUACAUAUGAGCUGGUGGGCAUGGACUUUUUUUUUGAG